AUGGUCAGGCUAAAGAGGACUGCAGAUGAUGGAUGGUACUUCUCCACAGUCGUCCUGACCCAUAACCACGAGCUUGCAAACACUGCCGGAGAGAAGAAGGUGUGGAAGUGCCACAAUACCGUCGACUCGUCCAUCAAAGAACUGAUCAAGCAUAUGCGGUCUAACAACAUCCCUGUGAACAAGGUUUAUGGCGUGAUGUCCGAUAUACAUGGGCGUCACGAAGAGGUUCCCUUCGGCAAGCGUUGUCUGAAGAAUCUAUGCGCAACCCUCGCACACGAUUCAAGCCUCGACGACAUCACAAAGACGCUCGAUAUAUUCAGUAAGAUGCAAGCGCAAAACCCUGAUUUUUUUUACGCGGUGAAGGUCGACUCAGAGAGGCGUGUGCAUGGAAUUCUUUGGUGUCACUCGAAGAGCCGAGCUGACUAUCAUCUGUCUGGUGACGUGCUGACCUUCGACACCACUUAUAAGAGUAAUCUGUAUGAGAUGCCUGUGGGUCUUUUCGUUGGAGUGAACAAUCACUACCAAUCUGCCCUGUUCGGGUGUGUUAUUCUUAGAGAAGAAAGAGAAGACUCAUUCAAGCGGGCAUUUUCUACCUUUGUUGAAGCCAAUGGCGGGAAGACGCUGCAGACGACACUCACAGUAUCAGAUCAAUGCCGGCAGAUGGAAGUUGCUAUCACUCAUACAAUGCCCUCUACAGUCCACCGUCUGUGCAAAUGGCACGUUAUGAAAAGUAUAAAGGAGAAUCUUGGGGCAUUAUAUAAGAAAGGGACCCCAUUCCGAAUUGACUUUAAUCGUCUCACAAAUGAGAUGAUGACUGUCGAUGAGUUCGACCGUGGAUGGGCUUAUCUGAUGGAUACCUAUGGACUUGCUGGUACAUGGCACAUAUAUGAUUGCCGUGACAAAUGGGCCAAACCCUACCUCAGCUCGAACUUCUGCGCCAAGAUGUGUAGCACGCAACGUAAUGAGUGCAUGAAUAAUGUGCUGAAAAGCUAUGUUUCGCUUUCAGCACCUCUCAACCGUUUUGUGCUGCAGUAUAACAAGCUCAUAGCGCAGCGGUGUGAGGAUGAAGACUUUGAGAUGGCACACACAAAGAAGGAUGUCCCUAGUCAUUACAUUUUGAAAAGAUGGAGUAGGGAUGCCCGUGAUGUUCUUCCUGAUCACUUAAAAUGUUAUCAGAAGGACUCGGACCUGGGGGUGUCUAAGACGUUUAGGCACAACAUUUUAUAUGUGCGUGCUCUGCAGGUUGUCAAGCUUGGCAAUAUGAGCGUCCCGCUCUUCAACCACGCCGUGCAGCGACUGCUAGCCCUGGAGAAAGAACUGAAUGCCAUGGCUGAGGAAGAAGCAGAAAACAAAUCAGCUGGCUUGUGCGGGUCUGAAACUUUGAGGUGCACGUCUCCUGCUACCCUUUCUGAAGAAAUUCCGAACUCAGGGGCAUAUGCCAGUGAAGCUGCGCCCCCUGAUCUCACGUCUGAACCGGUCGACGUCCCUUUGCCACCGCAGAGAAUGUGUGACACUCCAAAAUUUUAA
Molecule: ribosomal RNA, 1527 nt
Filed under: Triticum aestivum (bread wheat)
Lineage: Eukaryota; Viridiplantae; Streptophyta; Magnoliopsida; Poales; Poaceae
Description: partial small subunit ribosomal RNA
Source: RNAcentral